GGGCAUCUCUGCCUGAGGCGUGGAUGAUGGCUGUAGAACCCGAAUUGAAAGAAUUCCGGGCACCCUUUUAAAUUACAUCCCCACUGCCAACCGUACCCGAGGCCUAAGCUAUAAUGAAUUCACCCUAAUUUAUCAUCACCACAAAGAACGUCACCAUAUUUAUGCACCUUUGAAGGUAUAUAUAAUUCUUCAAUUAUUACUAGCUGAAUUUGUAGUUUUUGGAAUUCCAACUCUUUAGAAUGAUACAGUUAAUCAGAGAUCAUUCUCCUCGUCUUUAAAACAUCAAAGUUUAAUAAAUGAAAUUUUGUUGAACAUCCAAAAUCACAUUUGUAGAUUAACUUACAAAAUUUGAUCCAAUCAUUUUGAAUAAUUGCAAUGUAUUUUUGGGAUAAAUAGUUUUGCUAUGCUGACAAUAUUGCACAAAGCUUACAUUUAUACUCCCUCCGCUCCAUUUCAAUUUAUGUGAAUUAGUUUAUAUCUAGUUGCCCCAUCAAAGAGGAGAGGACAAAGAAAAUCUUUGACAAGUUCGACGCUAACAAAGAUGGCCAUCGAUCUGAUCAACAUGAUGGAGCUGCUGGAAUGGAUCAUGAUUCAUGGCUGUAGAACACAAAUUGAAUUACGAGAUUCGGAAGUAUCUGACCAUGCUUUCAGACUACCUCUACAGUAGUUUCUCAUCUACCCUAGUUGGUUAUAUAUAAAAAGGCCUAUGCUAUACUGGUUUCAGCGAAAUUUAUCAGCAUAAAAAACGUGUCCUUGAUUUUGACUUCAACACCCUCUAAUUCCAGCAAGAAAAAACUAAUGCAAUUCAGCAGGUAUAAUAACUUGAGUCUCCAGCCUCUACUUCCAUAACAAAUUAAUAUUCACUCACUUUAUAUAUAUUUGUGGUAGUGUUCAAAGAGUGUCCGUCUAUCACCCACAAAGACAAUAGAGAAAAAGAAAACGACACAUCAAGUUCAGG
Molecule: long non-coding RNA, 958 nt
Filed under: Solanum tuberosum (potato)
Lineage: Eukaryota; Viridiplantae; Streptophyta; Magnoliopsida; Solanales; Solanaceae
Description: long non-coding RNA (STUB_LNC003303)
Source: RNAcentral